This 470-nucleotide ribosomal RNA is filed under the name Salmonella enterica subsp. enterica serovar Berta. RNAcentral's name for it is "partial 23S ribosomal RNA". It matches the Rfam family "Bacterial large subunit ribosomal RNA", at positions 123 to 631 of the family's 2925-position model. The record is from RNAcentral. Lineage: Bacteria; Pseudomonadati; Pseudomonadota; Gammaproteobacteria; Enterobacterales; Enterobacteriaceae.
GAAACCCAGUGUGAUUCGUCACACUAUCAUUAACUGAAUCCAUAGGUUAAUGAGGCGAACCGGGGGAACUGAAACAUCUAAGUACCCCGAGGAAAAGAAAUCAACCGAGAUUCCCCCAGUAGCGGCGAGCGAACGGGGAGGAGCCCAGAGCCUGAAUCAGCAUGUGUGUUAGUGGAAGCGUCUGGAAAGGCGCGCGAUACAGGGUGACAGCCCCGUACACAAAAGCGCAUGUGCUGUGAGCUCGAUGAGUAGGGCGGGACACGUGGUAUCCUGUCUGAAUAUGGGGGGACCAUCCUCCAAGGCUAAAUACUCCUGACUGACCGAUAGUGAACCAGUACCGUGAGGGAAAGGCGAAAAGAACCCCGGCGAGGGGAGUGAAAAAGAACCUGAAACCGUGUACGUACAAGCAGUGGGAGCACAGGUUUACCUGUGUGACUGCGUACCUUUUGUAUAAUGGGUCAGCGACUUAU